RNAcentral lists this ribosomal RNA (253 nucleotides) under uncultured bacterium. Its description in RNAcentral is "partial 16S ribosomal RNA". It matches the Rfam family "Bacterial small subunit ribosomal RNA", at positions 524 to 776 of the family's 1533-position model. The record is from RNAcentral.
UACAGAGGUCUCAAGCGUUGUUCGGAUUCAUUGGGCGUAAAGGGUGUGUAGGCGGCGCGGUAAGUCGGGUGUGAAAUCUCGGAGCUUAACUCCGAAACUGCAUUCGAUACUGGCGUGCUUGAGGACUGGAGAGGAGACUGGAAUUCAUGGUGUAGCAGUGAAAUGCGUAGAGAUCAUGAGGAAGACCAGUGGCGAAGGCGGGUCUCUGGACAGUUCCUGACGCUGAGACACGAAGGCCAGGGGAGCAAACGGG